Molecule: ribosomal RNA, 2554 nt
Filed under: Campylobacter coli
Lineage: Bacteria; Pseudomonadati; Campylobacterota; Epsilonproteobacteria; Campylobacterales; Campylobacteraceae
Description: partial 23S ribosomal RNA
Rfam family: Bacterial large subunit ribosomal RNA
Source: RNAcentral
AGAGUGAAAUAGAACCUGAAACCAUUUGCUUACAAUCAUUCAGAGCCCUAUGUAGCAAUACAGGGUGAUGGACUGCCUUUUGCAUAAUGAGCCUGCGAGUUGUGGUGUCUGGCAAGGUUAAGCAAACGCGAAGCCGUAGCGAAAGCGAGUCUGAAUAGGGCGCUUAGUCAGAUGCUGCAGACCCGAAACGAAGUGAUCUAUCCAUGAGCAAGUUGAAGCUAGUGUAAGAACUAGUGGAGGACUGAACCCAUAGGCGUUGAAAAGCCCCGGGAUGACUUGUGGAUAGGGGUGAAAGGCCAAUCAAACUUCGUGAUAGCUGGUUCUCUCCGAAAUAUAUUUAGGUAUAGCGUUGUGUCGUAAUAUAAGGGGGUAGAGCACUGAAUGGGCUAGGGCAUACACCAAUGUACCAAACCCUAUCAAACUCCGAAUACCUUAUAUGUAAUCACAGCAGUCAGGCGGCGAGUGAUAAAAUCCGUCGUCAAGAGGGAAACAACCCAGACUACCAGCUAAGGUCCCUAAAUCUUACUUAAGUGGAAAACGAUGUGAAGUUACUUAAACAACCAGGAGGUUGGCUUAGAAGCAGCCAUCCUUUAAAGAAAGCGUAAUAGCUCACUGGUCUAGUGAUUUUGCGCGGAAAAUAUAACGGGGCUAAAGUAAGUACCGAAGCUGUAGACUUGCGCACAACUUAGAUUAUUUAAGUUUAGAAUAUGAGAAACUAAGUUAUAUGUUUAGUUAUAUUUUUACUGAUUUUUAUAGAGUAAAGAUAGAAAUAAAACUUAGUAAAAUCAGUAAAAAUAUUCUUAGACUAAAGUUAAGUAGUUUAAGUUGUGUGCAAGUGGUAGGAGAGCGUUCUAUUUGCGUCGAAGGUAUACCGGUAAGGAGUGCUGGAGCGAAUAGAAGUGAGCAUGCAGGCAUGAGUAGCGAUAAUUAAUGUGAGAAUCAUUAACGCCGUAAACCCAAGGUUUCCUACGCGAUGCUCGUCAUCGUAGGGUUAGUCGGGUCCUAAGUCGAGUCCGAAAGGGGUAGACGAUGGCAAAUUGGUUAAUAUUCCAAUACCAACAUUAGUGUGCGAUGGAAGGACGCUUAGGGCUAAGGGGGCUAGCGGAUGGAAGUGCUAGUCUAAGGUCGUAGGAGGUUAUACAGGCAAAUCCGUAUAACAAUACUCCGAGAACUGAAAGGCUUUUUGAAGUCUUCGGAUGGAUAGAAGAACCCCUGAUGCCGUCGAGCCAAGAAAAGUUUCUAAGUUUAGCUAAUGUUGCCCGUACCGUAAACCGACACAGGUGGGUGGGAUGAGUAUUCUAAGGCGCGUGGAAGAACUCUCUUUAAGGAACUCUGCAAAAUAGCACCGUAUCUUCGGUAUAAGGUGUGGUUCGCUUCGUAUUAGGAUUUACUCCGAAAGCGAAGAAACUUACAACAAAGAGUCCCUCCCGACUGUUUACCAAAAACACAGCACUCUGCUAACUCGUAAGAGGAUGUAUAGGGUGUGACGCCUGCCCGGUGCUCGAAGGUUAAUUGAUGGGGUUAGCAUUAGCGAAGCUCUUGAUCGAAGCCCGAGUAAACGGCGGCCGUAACUAUAACGGUCCUAAGGUAGCGAAAUUCCUUGUCGGUUAAAUACCGACCUGCAUGAAUGGCGUAACGAGAUGGGAGCUGUCUCAAAGAGGGAUCCAGUGAAAUUGUAGUGGAGGUGAAAAUUCCUCCUACCCGCGGCAAGACGGAAAGACCCCGUGGACCUUUACUACAGCUUGACACUGCUAUUUGGAUAAGAAUGUGCAGGAUAGGUGGGAGGCUUUGAGUAUAUGACGCCAGUUGUAUAUGAGCCAUUGUUGAGAUACCACUCUUUCUUAUUUGGGUAGCUAACCAGCUUGAGUUAUCCUCAAGUGGGACAAUGUCUGGUGGGUAGUUUGACUGGGGCGGUCGCCUCCCAAAUAAUAACGGAGGCUUACAAAGGUUGGCUCAGAACGGUUGGAAAUCGUUCGUAGAGUAUAAAGGUAUAAGCCAGCUUAACUGCAAGACAUACAAGUCAAGCAGAGACGAAAGUCGGUCUUAGUGAUCCGGUGGUUCUGUGUGGAAGGGCCAUCGCUCAAAGGAUAAAAGGUACCCCGGGGAUAACAGGCUGAUCUCCCCCAAGAGCUCACAUCGACGGGGAGGUUUGGCACCUCGAUGUCGGCUCAUCGCAUCCUGGGGCUGGAGCAGGUCCCAAGGGUAUGGCUGUUCGCCAUUUAAAGCGGUACGCGAGCUGGGUUCAGAACGUCGUGAGACAGUUCGGUCCCUAUCUGCCGUGGGCGUAAGAAGAUUGAAGAGAUUUGACCCUAGUACGAGAGGACCGGGUUGAACAAACCACUGGUGUAGCUGUUGUUCUGCCAAGAGCAUCGCAGCGUAGCUAAGUUUGGAAAGGAUAAACGCUGAAAGCAUCUAAGCGUGAAGCCAACUCUAAGAUGAAUCUUCUCUAAGCUCUCUAGAAGACUACUAGUUUGAUAGGCUGGGUGUGUAAUGGAUGAAAGUCCUUUAGCUGACCAGUACUAAUAGAGCGUUUGGCUUAUCUUUAAUAAAGCAU